Molecule: long non-coding RNA, 319 nt
Filed under: Elaeis guineensis (African oil palm)
Lineage: Eukaryota; Viridiplantae; Streptophyta; Magnoliopsida; Arecales; Arecaceae
Description: long non-coding RNA (EGUI_LNC042847)
Source: RNAcentral
UUCUUAGAAAAGCUAUUUCAUAUCCCUUUCUUGGAGUCGAUGUCAUACAUCACCUUGUUGUAGGUUCUGGGAUCAUCUCUAUGCUCUCCAUCUCCCGUGAGAAAUGACUUUCUCUACAUCCUUUGUUAAGCAUACCCAAGUACCUUUCGAGAGGAUUGGAGAUCCUAAUGUGUGUAUGAGGUAGAGGAGGAAUAUACGUCUACUGGCUCAUGAUGAAUAGGUUCUUAAAGUCCUGUAGCUCAUAGCUCUUCAGAGAUACUCUCUUUGAGCUUGACUUUUCUCCCACUAUUUUAUCUUGGUCAAAUAAUUUUUCAAGAAG